RNAcentral lists this ribosomal RNA (200 nucleotides) under Candidatus Magasanikiibacteriota bacterium. Its description in RNAcentral is "Candidatus Magasanikbacteria bacterium partial 23S ribosomal RNA". It matches the Rfam family "Bacterial large subunit ribosomal RNA", at positions 1 to 206 of the family's 2925-position model. The record is from RNAcentral. Lineage: Bacteria; Candidatus Magasanikiibacteriota.
AAUAUAAGGGCGUACGGUGGAUGCCUAGACACUAUUCAACGAAGAAGGACGUCGCAGGGUGCGAUAAGCCUCGGGGAGGUCCCAAGCAACCUUUGAUCCGGGGAUUUCCGAAUGGGGGAACCCAUGUCGCGUAAUGGUGACAUACUGUACAGUGAAUACAUAGCUGUAUGGAGAAGACCUGGUGAAGUGAAACAUCUCAG